GAUGAACGCUGGCGGCGUGCCUAAUACAUGCAAGUUGAGCGCUGAAGGUUGGUACUUGUACCGACUGGAUGAGCAGCGAACGGGUGAGUAACGCGUGGGGAAUCUGCCUUUGAGCGGGGGACAACAUCUGGAAACGAAUGCUAAUACCGCAUAAAAACUUUAAACACAAGUUUUAAGUUUGAAAGAUGCAAUUGCAUCACUCAAAGAUGAUCCCGCGUUGUAUUAGCUAGUUGGUGAGGUAAAGGCUCACCAAGGCGAUGAUACAUAGCCGACCUGAGAGGGUGAUCGGCCACAUUGGGACUGGGACACGGCCCAAACUCCUACGGGAGGCAGCAGUAGGGAAUCUUCGGCAAUGGGCGAAAGUCUGACCGAGCAACGCCGCGUGAGUGGAGAAGGUUUUCGGAUCGUAAAACUCUGUUGGUAGAGAAGAACGUUGGUGAGAGUGGAAAGCUCAUCAAGUGACGGUACCUACCCAGAAAGGGACGGCUAACUACGUG
RNAcentral lists this ribosomal RNA (497 nucleotides) under uncultured bacterium. RNAcentral's name for it is "partial 16S ribosomal RNA". It matches the Rfam family "Bacterial small subunit ribosomal RNA", at positions 28 to 507 of the family's 1533-position model. The record is from RNAcentral.